Molecule: ribosomal RNA, 463 nt
Filed under: uncultured bacterium
Lineage: Bacteria
Description: bacterial SSU rRNA
Rfam family: Bacterial small subunit ribosomal RNA
Source: RNAcentral
AACGCUGGCGGCGUGCCUAACACAUGCAAGUCGAACGGAGAAGUUGAUUUCGGUUGACUUCUUAGUGGCGAACGGGUGAGUAACGCGUGAACAACCUGACCUCAAGAGGGGGAUACCAACGAGAAAUCGUUGUUAAUACCGCAUAAGACCACAGCGCCGCAUGGCAAAGGGGUCAAAGGAGCAAUCCGCUUGAGGAGGGGUUCGCGUCCCAUUAGGUAGUAGGCGGGGUAACGGCCCACCUAGCCAGCGAUGGGUAGCCGAGCUGAGAGGCUGAACGGCCACACUGGAACUGAGACACGGUCCAGACUCCUACGGGAGGCAGCAGUGGGGAAUAUUGGGCAAUGGGCGCAAGCCUGACCCAGCAACGCCGCGUGAGGGAAGAAGGUUUUCGGAUUGUAAACCUCUGUCGCAGAUGACGAAGGAAGUGACGGUAAUCUGUGAGGAAGCCCCGGCUAACUACGUG